CGUUGUCUAUGUAUGAUCGAAUGUGUCUCAUUUCUCUCUGGAGCCAAUCGAUGUCUUCUUUCAACCAAUAUAAACGCGUUCCUUCUUGAAAGAGUACAUUUCCAGCUAUUUCAACAGAUUUAUUGAUGACUGCUGUGAGAAGAAUUUCAGCCAUUUCUUUUUCAGUAGCUACAAAAAAUUGAUCAGAAUGAGUAAUUAGAAAGAAGAAGAUAAUUGGUAAAGGAAAAGAAAGGUAAGCUUAGAAUAGUUGGAGUCAACUGCCAAGUCUCCUAAUAAUGUCAAGUAAAUGAAAAACGAAAGAAGAAAGGAACAACACAUGCUCUGGAUAAGAAACUGGUUGAAUAGUCAAAGGAAAUAACACCGUUCGUUCCAAUUUAAAUGUCAUUCUAUUUAAUUCGAUAUAGAAUUUAAGAAACAAACAGUGACUUUUAAUAUUUUGUGGCGGAUUAUUGAUAAUGUACCUUUUUAAAAAAAAAAUUACGUAACUAAGCAAACAUCUUUAGACAGUGGCGUACGCAAGAUAUUUCAUAAGAGGUGUCACAUUUUAAAAUAAAAAUAAAUAAUUAAAAAAUUAAGAUUUAUUUUAGCAUUUUUAUGUGUGUAGCGAAAUAUAUUUAAAUUAAAAAAAUUAACCAAGAAAGAAAAAGGCGGUAUUGAUGUUCGAACACCCAACUUCAAACCAGAAGAUAAGUACCCUAACCUACUGAGCUACGCUCCUAUUUGGUUUAAGGAGUGUCACUUUAUUGUAUUUGUUCUUUGUUUACAAUUUGCUUUCCAAUUAUUUAGAAUUAUUUAAUAAAAAAAUUCGACGAAGCCGUGUCAUGUGACACACCUUCGCCUAAGGUAAAUCCGCCCUGUCUUUAGUAUAUAACUAUCAAUCACACCAUAUGUUAAAAAAAUGUAUUAUAUAUCUAGACGCCAUUUUAUGUUUCCUAACUGUUUGAUGAACGUCUUGCAAAACUUUGCCCAAUUUGGUUCAUGGCUGUGAGUUUGGGCUAUUAUGAGAUUCAAUUUGUAUGUUCCAUGAAAAUUAGGCUUUUAUGCAAUUUGACUCUCUCAAAAUCUUUUGCCAUACUCAUACAGAGUGGGCGUUCGGUUUGAUAUUUAUUUAACUUUGAUUUGAUUUGGUCGUGAGAUAUCAUCAUAAUGACUCGAGUAGAAUGGUCGGAAUUUCUUCACUUUUCUGAUAAGGAGUGUUCUGUUCUAAAUUUACUAAUUCGACUAAUUCAAAUUUGUAUCACGUAAUACUGAUUUGAGAAAGAAAUACUUUUUAUCCAAAAAAAAAUCAUUUUCAGAGCUCGAAUUGAUUUUUUUUUUUGGUUUCAUUACGUGUAAUUUUCAAGUCCUUGUGGUAUCACAACACAGGUUAGGAUAUUUGGAGGUUAUUUCACAAGGACUUACAACAAGAAAAGAAAAAAAAAAGAUAUAAUUUGAGGAAAAUAUGAAAGUCUUGCAUUAAAGUUAAAAAAAAAGUAGUAGUUGUUUGCUCGUGAAGUUCAAAUAUUUUUCACUAAAAUUUAUAGAAUUGAAAUUGAAAAUAGAGUUAGGUUUAAAUUAUUUUUUUCUUGCGAAUGAAAGAACCGAACGAUUGGAGAUUGGAGAAUUUUACCAUCAAACUGCUUUUGAAAUAAAGUGAAAAAUUAUUUCGAAAAAAAAUAUAAAUAAUUCACAUAACAUCCUAAAAUAGCUUUCUCAAUCUCGACAAUUGCUCAUUUAUAAACUACGGAAAAUGGUCAAAAUUGCCCCUGCACUAUGUGAAAUAGACCACUUAUACCCUCCGUUAUAUUUUACGAUAAAAAAUGCCCGGUGUUAUCCUAAGAGACCACAAUUACCCUUAAGACUUAACAGAAAUGAUGCGGCAAGCCACAUGACACUAAUUCCGCCACCUAGGCUUGCCAACUAGGAUACUCACUAAAUUUUUUGACCCAAUUAAUAAUUCAACCCUAACCCAUUUUUGUUGGACCCAACCCACUAAAAUUAAGAGGGAAACAUCAUCUUUUUUUCACCUCAUUCCGUUUUACUAUUAAAUUCACCAAGGACGAUUUUUUGAAGACUUUUACGAGCUUAGCUUACUUGGACCAUGAUUGUGUGCCGCCAUAGAUUUAAAAACUAUGCUCUGGCACCAUUCUAUGCUUAGAAAGCUUGGGCUUGUGUUUUAUGUGGCUUUCCAAAAAAAUUUUGAGAAGCUCCACUUUUGUGAUGAUUAUACCCCACAACCACAAGUUUCUACGUUUUUAGCUUGUCGUCUAGCGGAUUAGCACUACGACAAAUAUAGGAGGGUGAUUGAUAAAAUGUGAAUACAAGAUUAUAAACAUGUAGGGGCAUAUCAAUGUUGCAUCCAUUUGUCUCUUACAGUGAUGAAUUUCAAUGAUUUUGGUUAUAAAGUAUAACACCAUAGAACCAUAAAGUUAAAUUUUCAAGCUUAUGUAUCUUUUCUAGUCCAUUGUGUCAUUAGAUUUUAAAGCUAGCAUUCCUAAGGUAGAGAUGUAAGGUAAACAAAAUAUUUUGCAGGCAAGAGAAACAAAUUAUAUAAAAAUCUUUUGCUUCCCCUGCUUAUUUACAACUAAUUUAUCAAUGAGUUAUUACUUUAAUUUCUUCCCUGGUUUUUUAUAACUUCAUCAAUGUACAUAUAUAUAUAUAUACUUUUGCCUUCAUAAACUUUGGGAGGUUUACAACUCCUUAAAAAAACAGCAAAUUGUUGUACCUUCUCCUCGUUAAUACUGGGUUUGAAACAGAACAUGUGGACUGCAGAUGGAACGGUUAGUUCAACCUCAUGGCUACAACCAAGCUUGAAGUAUAUAGAAGGUUUUGUCCUUACGAUUUGGACAAUAUUCAAAACUUUCAAAAUCUUUCAUCAUGACAAAACAUUAAGGAGUGAGUACGUUCUGGUUGUUGGCAUGUGAUUAAGAGGUUAGUAUGGAUCGAGUUUUGAAAAUAGACUCUUACAAAAAAUACUAAUAAAAUUACAUAUAAUAGAUUCUUGUGAUCCAUCUCUUCUUUGGACUCCGCAUAUAACCGGAAUUUAGUACACAUGGUUAAUAAGUUAUUUAUUUUUUUAUUAUCUUUUUGCAUAAUUGAGAUGCCACUUUUGCUCAUUUUAUAUUCCCUGCUAGUAGAAUUUAAGAAGGUUUACAUGAUUUAUCCACUCUUACAAUCCUAUAUUUCAAGACCUGUAUUAUUUUUAUUGACUAAACAUGGAUAAUGAUAACUACUGUCAAUACUAUUAAAAAUGUUUUCCACGUUAGAGUUGUGGGUUCGAGAAUAGCAGGCUUUAAAUUUGGUAGUUGGAGAAAUGCAUUGCAAGUUAUUUAUAAUGUGGUUCUAUCGUCUACAUUGAGGUGUGAAUAAUUUUGCAAUAAAUUAUUCUAUCCGUUUAUUUUAACUUAUUACAUUUCGUUUUGAGAUUCAAACUAUAUGAAUUUGGAUCAAUAUUUUAAGAUGAAUAAUUUUGCAAUAAAUUAUUACAUCCGUUUAUUUCAACUUAUUACGUUUCAUUUUUUGAGAGUCAAACUAUAUGAACUUUGAUUAACAUUUUAAGAUGAAUAUUUUUGCAAUUAAUUAUUCUAUCCUUUUAUUUUAACUUAUUACGUUUCGUUUUUUGAGAGUUAAAUGAUAUAUAUAUGAACUUUGAGAUGUAUUUUUUCAUCAUAUUAAUAUGAGAAAGAUUGAUCAUAUAUAGUUUUUAAAUAUUUAAAUUUAAAAUUUAAAAUAUUGAGUGAAUUUUAUUCAAUUUGACUCUCAAAGUUAAUCAAAUUAACUCUCAUGAAACAUGACAAAUAAAUCCAUUUUCUUGGUUUUCCACCCGGUACUCACAUCCAAAUCGUUCCACGCAUAUUCAGAAUUAUGGAGUAUUAAAUGAAAUAUUUAGUUCAUGAACUAACUAGUACAAAUUUUUUAAAAUCACCUUAUCGAGCAUAUUAAAUGUAAAUAGUUAACGCAGUAAACUAACCUGUGAGAUUUUCAUAUUCUCAGCUUUGCAAGCCGUUUGGAAAGACUUAUUAGGGAACGGAGUCUUACAAGUAAUAGCAAUAUUGCCGAGAUCACCAAAUGCAUUGUGCUCGGUGUGAGAGGUUGCAUGAAAUUUCUUAGUCUAGCAUUUCUCAUUUGUAUAUCUUUUACGAUUCUAUCUAUUAAUGAUUUUUGUAUAUAUUUGAUUGACAUAUUUCUAUAUUUUCCAACCCAUAGGUAUUUGUAUAAUAUUUUAUAUUUAUGCAAAUCAUCAUAUAAGCAAGAAAUCCGAAUCAAAGAGUAAAUAUAUCAAAAUUUUCAAAAAGAUACCAUACAUACACCACAAAUAAGGUCUACUUUUUUCUAUUGAGAAUAAGAUUUUAAUUUUAUUACUCCAUUAAUUAAAGAUAAAUAAACAUAAAACAAAACAAAGAGAAAUACAGUAUUAAUUUGUUUUUACAAAUCACAAGCAAUUAACUUGAAACAGCAAUCAAACUUUUUCUCUUAUUAUUAGUAUUAUAAUACCAACAGGCAUCAGAAGAUUCUCUCCAACACAGACUUAAAUCAUUUUCAAAGGCAUCCCUGCAAUUUAUUAGAGAUGGAAUAUUUAGUUGAUGAACUAAAUACAAAUUUCAAAAAAUCAUGGAUAUUAAACGUAAAUAAUUAUUUAUAGUACCUGUGAGAUUUUUAUAUUCUCAACAUUGCAAGCCGUUCCGAGACCCUGAGACUAAUUGGGGAAUAAAUGAAUGGGCCUUGUACAAGUAAUAGCUUUUUCAAUUUAGGCAUACUCAUAUCAUCCAUGCACGUUACUUCAGACAACCCUUGUGCAUCCUCAAUAUGUAAAACUUCAAGUUGCGGAAAGCUAUCACCAGAGAGAUCCAUUUUUUCUGCAUCAUGUCUGCACCUAAGCAAUGUAAGUAUCCUUAAUUUGGGCAAUUUCUUAAGCACUGCCAAUAGAUGACCGUCUACCAUCAAGCCGACAAGAGUAAGCUUGACAAGAUUUGGAGGGAAUGCUUCAAUGUUCAAGAGCAUUGCUCUGGAACCAAACAAAACCAAUUUGACAAUAUUUGGAUGGGACGACAAGUUUAUUUGCUCACUCGUGUUCUUGAAAAUUCUGAGCUUCAGAACCUCCAACGCUUUAGGCACAGGGCUCAAUGCUGAUAAUAUCUUAAUGGUAGAACCGGAUACAUCCUUUAUACACAAUGUUCUUAAAUUUAUCAAUCGGUGCAACAAUCUCGGUUCACAAAAUUUAUCAUCCACCCACAUCAAAGUUUGUAGAUUAUUACGAGGCAAUGAGUACACGUUUGGAAAAAAUGGGUUUAUACAAAAGUAAUUGUAAGGUGCUAGAUUAUAACCUAUAGAACGAAGAUGUCUCAAUUGUGUAGACUUCCAAACACCAGUAGGAAGUUUAAUAAAGAAGCUUUUACCAAUAUCUAGGGUCUCUAGAUGUUUGAGCUUCACCAUACAAUUUGGCAGUUUCCCAUUGCACGAAGCUUCUCAAGCUUAGUAUUUGAACGGAAGAACUCAUUCAUGGCAUUAUUAUCAGAGUAGAAUGUAAUCCUUCGCACCCUAGCAACAUUGCUGGGAUCACCAAAUGCAUUGUGCUCGGUGUGAAAGAAGUUACUUUCCUUAGCCAAAUCCACACACAAACUAUGUAACAAGUCAUGUAUGCGACAACUUGAAAUUCUUCCAUCAUAUGUCCUUUCGACAACUUGAAUCAAGUUUCUAGAAACCAAAUCAUUUAGGAUAUCCUCUGCCAAACUUUCAGCCUCUCGCCUAUUACCACUAUAGUUUACAACUAUCAACUUCUCAGCAAUCCACAUAUUUGUCAGAUCAAAAGCACGAAUUUCAUGGUCCUCGGGGUAAAGGCCAAAAUACAAGAAACAUGGCCUUAAUGCAAUUGGCAAAUCAUUGUAACUCAGAGCCAAUACCUUAGCACAUCCAUCUUGAAUUUUAUGACCCAUACUCUCAAGUACUCUGUUCCAUGCACGUUCUGUUCUUUCUCUUGCCCUUAACAUGCCUGCGGUCACCUCAAUGGCUAGAGGUAUACCUCCACAUCUUCCAACUAUACUUCUACCAAUAUCUACCAAGUCUGGUGAAGCAUUGGCCCAAUUAUUAUUGUUAUCAAAAGUAAAGAUUUUCUUGGUAAAGAGUUCAAAACUGUUUUCCGAAUCUAGAGGUUGCAACACGUGUAUUGAGAAAUCCCCUCCUAUGUAUCUGCCUACAUUACUAUUUCGAGAGGUUAUAAUUAUCCUACUGCCAAUUUUUGAAUCACAUUCAGGAAGGACAAGUUUUAGAUCAUCCCAAAUUUCAACAUCCCAAAUGUCAUCUAAGAGAAUAACAUACCUUUUUAUUUUCAAGAGUGAUCGUAGGUUGUUCUCCAAGUUUUCUUUCCUUUCCUCUUCCAUCAGUCCAACUUGUUUGGCUAUGUCAUGUAAGAUUUCUCCCGCCCUUGGCUGUUGUGAAACAUAGACCAGUCCCGAACACUCAAAUUGAUCACGGACUUGCCUAUAAAGUUUCUUGGCAAGAGUUGUUUUUCCUAGACCGGGCAUGCCAACUAUUGAAACAACUCCAUAAGGCAAAUCAUGAUCAAGUAAUUUGGCUUGCAGCUUAUUGAAGUCAUCAUCCAAACCGAUGACCUCUGUUUCAUCAGCAUGAAGGAAUAAUCUUCUUUGGUCCAAUGGAAUGCAAUCAUCACUAUUGUUGUUACUUGUAUCCAUGAUGUUGUAAGUUGUCCUUACACGAUCAAUGUCAGCAACUCUUCUUUUUAUCUUCUCAAUCUCCAUAGCAAACUCAUCCGCAAAAGAAACCGUCUUAAGGCAACAAAUGAAAUUAUUGGAUUGUUGAAUUUUUGGAAGAAACUCAUCUAAUAGAUCCUCCACAUCACCUGCCAGUUGUUGAAUAUCUUUUAAUAAGUUUUUGACCCUUGAAUGGCCUCCAACUUCCUUGGCCUUUGCAUCGUCUACAUAUGAUCGAAUGUGUCUCAUUUCUCUGUGGAGCCAAUCUAUGUCCUCUUUUAACCAAUAUAAACGCGUUCCUUCUUGAAAGAGUACAUUUCCAGCUAUUUCUAUUGAUUUAUUGAUGACUGCUGUGAGAAGAAUUUCAGCCAUCUCUUUUUUCCUUAAAUUUCUUUUUUCUAAAUGUGAGGAUUAGCAAGGGAAAGUAAGAGAAAA
This 7121-nucleotide long non-coding RNA is filed under the name Solanum tuberosum (potato). RNAcentral's name for it is "long non-coding RNA (STUB_LNC009468)". The record is from RNAcentral. Lineage: Eukaryota; Viridiplantae; Streptophyta; Magnoliopsida; Solanales; Solanaceae.